Molecule: non-coding RNA, 588 nt
Organism: Pogona vitticeps (central bearded dragon)
Lineage: Eukaryota; Metazoa; Chordata; Lepidosauria; Squamata; Agamidae
Source: RefSeq, a predicted model, not a curated record
GAAGCCGGAAAUGGCCGCCCACGCCUCAGCCGGCGGGCGGGCGGGCGAGGCGAGCGAGGCGUCUCCUGAGCGCGUGCAGAGCGCCUCCCUGCCGGGGCGAGGGUGAAGGAAGCCACGCCUGGAAGAGAAAUCACAAGACACGAGAAAGAAAGAAAGAGAGAGAGAGACAGAGAGAGAGGUUGUUCCUCUUGGCCUUUCUGCAGGGGGCUGAAAAUCGCUGCCAGGGGUCUUGGCAAGGAGCUCCCGCCAGCCCCCCACCCGACCUUUGUGUGUGGAGAGAGAGCCCUCCUGCACUGCUCAGAAAAACGUUCCACCCUCUUGGGUCAGAUGCUGGUCUGGGCAGAAGCCUGUGGGGAGGAAUGGAGGAGUAAGGAGCUGCUUUGAACAUGAAGCCGCUGUUGAGACGCUUCUUUGGGAAGAGAAAUCCUCGGUGAAGGUGGUGGGAUGUGAAAUAUAUGUUCCAUGGCAGCCCCUGCCGCGCCUGAGCCAACGCCCAGCCCCUGGUGGAAUUGCUUUUUCCUCUACGACAGUUCGAAGGUGAAGGAGGAAGGAGACCCCACACAAGCCGGGAUUUGCUAUUUCAACCCC